RNAcentral lists this transfer RNA (66 nucleotides) under Dysmicohermes ingens. RNAcentral's name for it is "tRNA-Trp". Lineage: Eukaryota; Metazoa; Arthropoda; Insecta; Megaloptera; Corydalidae. The record is from RNAcentral.
AAGGUUUUAAGUUAAUUAAAACUAGUAGCCUUCAAAGCUGUAAAUAAAGACAUUCUUUAAGCCUUA